This 253-nucleotide long non-coding RNA is filed under the name Physcomitrium patens. RNAcentral's name for it is "long non-coding RNA (PPAT_LNC013583)". The record is from RNAcentral. Lineage: Eukaryota; Viridiplantae; Streptophyta; Bryopsida; Funariales; Funariaceae.
CUGCCGAACCCCAACCUGCCCAAACCAGUACUGUCAAUUUGAAGGUGAUGAGGAAGACCGUGAAACCAUUAGCAUUGUCGGUAAACGUAACUCACCAACCUAGCGGAAAACGUAUAGAUAACGAUGCGUUCGUCACGUUUCUAGAGCACCAACCUAGACAGGAUGUUGGACUCCGGGACUUGCUCACAGACGGCGUUGACAAAGUGGAGGCACCAUCUAGAUUAUCCCGGAGUGGUGAAAGUCCCAGGUUAGG